Long non-coding RNA from Antechinus flavipes (yellow-footed antechinus), 4352 nucleotides. RefSeq lists it as uncharacterized. Lineage: Eukaryota; Metazoa; Chordata; Mammalia; Dasyuromorphia; Dasyuridae. The transcript is spliced from 2 exons. The record is from RefSeq and is a predicted model, not a curated record.
GGGAAGGACUGGUCUUCCCCGGGACCCCCACUGAGGGCCCCCCUCUCCCCCCACCCCCUCCCCGGCACCCUGAGGUCUCGCCCCCUCACGGGGCACACGAGCUCCAAGGCCAGACCAGGCUGGCCCACUACACGCAGGGGCACCGUAGUCUCCAAAACCGUGCCCCCCGAAGCCAGAUGAACAAGAGGCCCCCAAUCCGGGCUUUCUCAGGCAACGCAGGCUCCUUUAACUGCCUUGACCUGGAGCCCAGAGACACUUUCACGACAACCCAGGCCGGAGCAGGCCGGAGUCCUGGCGCCCACAGACCCGAGGGGACCAGAACCCCCCCCCAGCUCUAGGGGGGCCUGCACAGUGAGAGAAAAGCUCCAGAAAGCCCUGUGGGCAGGAAGGAGCCCCAGAGGCAGCACGGGCCAUCGGCCCCUGAGGGUCAGCCCUGGACCUCAGCGGGAGGUGUUUGGCCUGCUCUGGGUCUGCCCCAGGACCUCCCAGGCCUGCCCUGGCCCCUCCGUCCUCCCCCAGGCCACUUCCCUCUCCCCUUCUGUUCAUCCUGACCCUUGUGCGAACCAACUGAAUUUGAAAGCACCGUCCCCCUCGGCUGAGCCCCUCACACCCCUAACAUGUCACCCAUCGCCCAGCCAGGCCUCCCACCGUUCCUACCACUCACCUUCGGCCUUACGGGGCCCACGCUGCUGGAAAAAAUCACAUCCUGCCUUCCCUCCCCCACUCUCCAGUCUCUUCCUCCUCACCCCUCCUCAGACCUCCCCCUUUCCUCAUCUUCCUUCCUCAAGUGCCUUCCGCUCCUCCCUCCAGCUUCCCCCACCUUCCAGGAUGGAGGAGCCUUCCUCCUGGCCCAGGCCAACCCCUGUCGGAACCGUGACCCCACCCGCCAUCUCUGUCCCCUCAUCUGGUCUUUCGCUUCUCUUUUUUAACUGAGAAGUCUUUUAUUGAUCAGUUCCAGGCAGGACCCAAAAGGCCAUAACAAAGAAAGGAGCUACAGUUUAGAGAAGAGGCAAAGGGGCUCCCAUUCUCCCCUUGCCCCCGCCUCUAAUCUGCCUUUCGUCCCCAGCGGGCCUGGGAGUCAGCCAAGAUGGCUGGAGGCACACGGAGCCCAGAGGGCCGCACCUGUCCCAGGCUCCUCUCUCCCUGUGACCUGGGCGCUCCAUGAAUGUGAGCCUGGGGGACCGAGACCAUGUCAACCUGGGCUGGGGGGGGGGGGCCUGAAUCAGGGCUGACCCUUGUUUCCAGUCCGUCCCUCCUGCCGACUCCUUCCCUUCGCCUUCCACUUUCCCGGCCUGAGAAAGCCCCCAGCCCUCACUACCCACACCGGCCCCAAACCAGCGACCCUGCUCUCUCCCAGGGGGCUCGCGGUCUCCUUUCCUCUGGCCCAGCCCCGUAUUUCUGAUUGUCCCCUCUUCCCCUGCUUCUCCUUCCCGCUCUCCUGGGCUGGGGACCCCCGGGCUCCGACCUCUCAUCUGCCCCUUCCCCGUCAGCUCCUCGGCUCCCCCGGCCUGAAUGACCACCUCUGUGCUGCUGCUUCCCCACGUAGCCGUCCGGCCCCGGUCUCUCUGCGGACCUCCAGCCUCAGCUCCGCUGCUGCUUCUCGGCCAUCCCAACCCGUGGCCAGUCCCAACAGAGCUCCUCCCCCUUUCCGGGACCCCCCCUUCCCUAUUUCUGUGGAGAGCCACGACCUUCCCCCAGCCCUUCAGGGCGGCACCGGCCUCCUCCUCAGCGGCCAGGGUCUGUGCGCUUCACCCGCGGCGCCCCCUCGGGCAGAAGGUCCUGGGGAGCAGCGACGGGAUUGGAGCGGAGCCUCGGGGGAAGCUGAGGGGCUGGGGUGGGCCCGAGAGGCGAGGAGCAGAGCGUGGGGAGCGCGAGUCCGGCACGUGGUCAGACUGACGCUUCCGCUUUCAGGGCCUCCCAGGAGGGACUCGGCCGGAGAGCUCAGGCCGGAGGCCGAGAGGGGCACGGGGGAAGCUGUACCAAAGGGCAGGAUGCCCACGGACUGAGAUCUGCCAGAGACCAGGCAGGCGGCGGGAGGACAGAGGCCCCGAGGGCUCGGAAGGACGGCUGCAGACGGUCCUGGGGGCUGGGGUGUCUCGGGCACGCGCCUGGGCAUCAUCUGCACAAGAGCUCCGAGAGGGAGCCUGGGCACGCCCACGGGACAGCAGGAGGGGACGCCCAGGGCCCGGGCAGAGAACCAUGGCGGGGACCGAGGGGGGAGGCUUGCUUUGGCCGGGACGGGACGGAGUGAAGGGCGUCGUUGGGGCAAUGUCCGUGCCAGGAGGAGGAAGAGGGAGAGCGUGAAGGCACAGAGGAGUCUGGGAAUGCCGGAAAUGACCUGAAAUACUGCCUCAAGGACUAGGGCCCAACUCUAACACAAAAAAGCCACCACACACCGAGGAAACCAAAACAAAGGACCUGCUCCCGGACAGCUACCAAGGGGACCAGCGGCAAACUCAAGACCAGGAAGUGAAAACAGCUACCUCUCCCUCAAAGGAAAAAAAAUUAGUCACAAACCAAAGAGUCCUGGGAAGAGCUUUACAGACUAAAAAUCAAAUGAGAAAAGUUGAGGGGAAAGAUUGGAAACGGUCAAGAAAAUUAUGAAAGACCAUGUGGAAAAAUGAUUGAAAACCUCAGGGGUAAAAAGGAACUUCUUGUAAAUUAAUAAAAUUUUCGCCCCCCCCCCUCCGCCAAGGGGAAGCUAUGACUUUGUAAGACUCCAAGAAAUAAUAAAACAAAAUCAAAAGAAUGAAUAAAUAGAAGAGAAUGUAAAACAUCCCAUUAGGAAAGAAAAACCCACUUGGAGAACAGCUCAAAGAGAGAAAAUAUUGUUGCACUACCUCAAAGCUGUGAUCAAAAAGGGUCUAGACAGUACAGAAUAUUGAGGGAGAUUCUGGGAAGAUGAUGGAGCACAUCACACAAUUCUAAGCUCUCCUGAUUUCCCCACAAACAAAACAGAACAGCUUGGGAUGAACUGAGAGUGAUAAAAACAAGUACCUGUGAGGCACAGGGCUGGUCCUCCUGGACAAAAGAAAGGUACCGAGAUGGAGGUUUGGCCGUAAAUACCCACAGGCUAAUCCCUCCGAAGCAGCAGGGGUCAGCCCUGGGGCUGGCUAGGCAGGGAAGCAGCCUCAGCCCCAACCCCAGGAACUCUUCUACCCAGACCUAGGACAAAGGCUGGGCUGCUGGCCCCAGGCCAGCCCCAGGGGAUGAUCUGCCCACCAGCACCUACAAGAAGGUGCAGCUCCCGGUCACGGUUUGGGUCAGAGUGGGGAAAGGAAGCAGGGCCUGAGGCCAGGGGCAGCAUCCCUCACCCCACAGGACUAAAAACAUGCACAGAUGAUCUGCUCAGAGUCAAAAACAAAUGAGCAAGCAGAGCAGAAAGUUACAUGAAAGGGGGAGGGGGGCGUUCAACAUCAGAGGAAGUCAGUGAAGUUUAAAAAUGCUCUUCUACCUCAAGGAAUACCAUCAAAUGGUCAACUGCCCAAAAACGAAUUCACAGAAGAAUUCAAAAAGGAUUUUAAAAAUCAAGUGAAGGAGAUGAAGGAAAAACUUUUUUAAAAAAAAUAACAAUUCAAGAAAAACAAGAAGAUUAUGAAAAGAAAGUCAAACAACUAGAAAAAGAGAUCCAGAUUCUUAAGGAAGAAAAUGAUUCCUUGAAAACUAGACCUGGACAAGGGGAGGCUGGCAAAGUUAUAAGAGGCCAAGAAACAACAAAACAAAAUAGAAUGAAAAAAUAGAAGAAAAUCUGAGAUAUCUCACAAGAAAAAAAGAUAAAGAAUUUUUAAAAAUGGAUUAUCUGAAAGCUACAAUAAAAAAAAUAUAUUGUUACAAUAAUACAAGAAAUAAUUAAAGAAAAUUGUCCUCAAGUGUUAGAACCAGAGGGGAAAACAGAACUAGAAAAAUACCCACCGAUCACCACCUCAAAGAGAUCCUACAAGGAAAACCUACAGGAGCAUUAUCAUGAAAUUCUGAGAGCCCUGAAUCAAAGAGAAAAUAUUACAAUCAACAAGAACAAAAAUCAACUGAAAACUGACAAAGCCACACAAGUAAAAAUAAGACCUAGCUGCACAAAAUUAAAAGACUAUAUCGAAGAGCAGAAGAACCAGGGUUCUAGCUCCUGAAUGGGAAAAACAAAAACAAAAAACUUUCAAUGAACUCAGUUUUCAGGAUUUUGAUGCAAAAAAGAUCUGCACUUAAAAGAAAAUUUGACAUAUAAAAUGAUAGAGAAAUAUAUUGCAAACAUCAACAACGGAAAUGUGAACCAUAUGUCCUGAUUAUCAUUAGUAAUUGGGCAAUUCAAAAGAAAGACUGGGAUAGAAUUGAAUAUAAUGUGAUUCUAGAAAGCAAAA